Molecule: small nuclear RNA, 189 nt
Organism: Bombina bombina (fire-bellied toad)
Lineage: Eukaryota; Metazoa; Chordata; Amphibia; Anura; Bombinatoridae
Product: U2 spliceosomal RNA
Exons: 1
Source: RefSeq, a predicted model, not a curated record
UGCGCGUCUCUGCCUUUUGGCUAAGAUCAAGUGUAGUAUCUGUUCUUAUCAGUUUAAUAUCUGAUACGUCCCCUAUCUGGGGACUAUAUAUUAAAUCCCAUUUUUAAAGAAAUCUAAUAAAGUUUUAUUUUUAACCGUUUAUGAUGGAAAAUUUCCACAUCGUUGUAAUAAUCUAGGGGAAUAGAGUAC